RNAcentral lists this ribosomal RNA (460 nucleotides) under uncultured bacterium. RNAcentral's name for it is "partial 16S ribosomal RNA". It matches the Rfam family "Bacterial small subunit ribosomal RNA", at positions 338 to 795 of the family's 1533-position model. The record is from RNAcentral.
CCUACGGGAGGCAGCAGUGAGGAAUAUUGGUCAAUGGACGAGAGUCUGAACCAGCCAAGUAGCGUGAAGGAUGACUGCCCUAUGGGUUGUAAACUUCUUUUAUAAGGGAAUAAAAUGUGCCACGUGUGGGAUUUUGUAUGUACCAUAUGAAUAAGGAUCGGCUAACUCCGUGCCAGCAGCCGCGGUAAUACGGAGGAUCCGAGCGUUAUCCGGAUUUAUUGGGUUUAAAGGGAGCGUAGGUGGAUUGUUAAGUCAGUUGUGAAAGUUUGCGGCUCAACCGUAAAAUUGCAGUUGACACUGGCAGUCUUGAUUACAGUAGAGGUGGGCGGAAUUCGUGGUGUAGCGGUGAAAUGCUUAGAUAUCACGAAGAACUCCGAUUGCGAAGGCAGUUCACUAGACUGCAACUGACACUGAUGCUCGAAAGUGUGGGUAUCAAACAGGAUUAGCUACCCGAGUAGUC